AGAGUUUGAUCAUGGCUCAGAUUGAACGCUGGCGGCAGGCCUAACACAUGCAAGUCGAACGGUAACAUUUCUAGCUUGCUAGAAGAUGACGAGUGGCGGACGGGUGAGUAAUGCUUGGGAACUUGCCUUUGCGAGGGGGAUAACCGUUGGAAACGACUGCUAAUACCGCAUAAUGUCUACGGACCAAACGGGGCUUCGGCUCCGGCGCAAAGAGAGGCCCAAGUGAGAUUAGCUAGUUGGUAAGGUAACGGCUUACCAAGGCGACGAUCUCUAGCUGUUCUGAGAGGAAGAUCAGCCACACUGGGACUGAGACACGGCCCAGACUCCUACGGGAGGCAGCAGUGGGGAAUAUUGCACAAUGGGGGAAACCCUGAUGCAGCCAUGCCGCGUGUGUGAAGGAGGCCUUCGGGUUGUAAAGCACUUUCAGUUGUGAGGAAAAGUUAGUAGUUAAUACCUGCUAGCCGUGACGUUAACAACAGAAGAAGCACCGGCUAACUCCGUGCCAGCAGCCGCGGUAAUACGGAGGGUGCGAGCGUUAAUCGGAAUUACUGGGCGUAAAGCGCACGCAGGCGGUUUGUUAAGCUAGAUGUGAAAGCCCCGGGCUCAACCUGGGAUGGUCAUUUAGAACUGGCAGACUAGAGUCUUGGAGAGGGGAGUGGAAUUCMARGUGURGGYRGYGAACAKGMKUAGAUAYCYGGWRGAMCAUCASYGKMRAAGSYGWCUACUAGCUGUGUGUGUCUUUAAGACGUGCGUAGCGAAGCUAACGCGCUAAGUAGACCGCCGGGGAGUACGGCCGCAAGGUUAAAACUCAAAUGAAUUGACGGGGGCCCGCACAAGCGGUGGAGCAUGUGGUUUAAUUYGAUGCAACGCGAAGAACCUUACCUACACUUGACAUGCUGAGAAGUUACUAGAGAUAGUUUCGUGCCUUCGGGAACUCAGACACAGGUGCUGCAUGGCUGUCGUCAGCUUGUGUCGUGAGAUGUUGGGUUAAGUCCCGCAACGAGCGCAACCCUUGUCCUUAGUUGCCAGCCUUAAGUUGGGCACUCUAAGGAGACUGCCGGUGACAAACCGGAGGAAGGUGGGGWCGACGUCAAGUCAUCAUGGCCCUUACGUGUAGGGCUACACACKUGSUACAAUGGCAUUUACAGAGGGAAGCGAGWCAKUGAUGUGGAGCGGACCCCUUAAAGAAUGUCGUAGUCCGGAUUGGAGUCUGCAACUCGACUCCAUGAAGUCGGAAUCGCUAGUAAUCGCAGGUCAGAAUACUGCGGUGAAUACGUUCCCGGGCCUUGUACACACCGCCCGUCACACCAUGGGAGUGGGAUGCAAAAGAAGUAGUUAGUCUAACCUUCGGGAGGACGAUUACCACUUUGUGUUUCAUGAMUGGGGUGAAGUYGUAACAAGGUAACCCUAGGGGAACCUGCGGUUGGAUCACCUCCUUAAGGG
This 1443-nucleotide ribosomal RNA is filed under the name Alteromonas sp. EZ48. RNAcentral describes it as "partial 16S ribosomal RNA". It matches the Rfam family "Bacterial small subunit ribosomal RNA". The record is from RNAcentral. Lineage: Bacteria; Pseudomonadati; Pseudomonadota; Gammaproteobacteria; Alteromonadales; Alteromonadaceae.